Long non-coding RNA from Capra hircus (goat), 1185 nucleotides. The record is from Ensembl. NCBI's taxonomy places the organism in Eukaryota, Metazoa, Chordata, Mammalia, Artiodactyla, Bovidae.
CAGCAGUCUUGCAAAGGUCAGAUUGCAGCACUCUGGUUGACUGGCUCUGUCUUCAGAGUCACAUUGUCAAUACUUCAAGGGCGGCAGAGGGCAUGGGAGACAGGUGAACACUGAUGGGGCGAGGGGCUGGCUCACAGGGACGGGGCUGCAAGCCUCCUGGGGCCCCAGCCAUCGCCACCACCACCUUUCCUUCAGCAGGCGAUGGCGGGGCAGUCACCACAGGAUGUCCUCGGUGAGGAUGACUGCCUGAGAGCUAAGGCUUCCAGACGCUCCCGCUCACGGCUCCUGUUUCCGUCAGCCCCACAGAAAACCGGAAAUGUCCCCUCGGUGCCCCGUGGUGUGUGGGAAGGCGGAUACACCUGAGGAGGGCUGCUUAGUACACACUGGCCGCACAAGGCUCACCAUCAUCUGUAAACAGGACCGUCUGGUGACUGCCCCCUAUUUGGUGUGUCAAGGCGAGGAUUUGAUGCAGCCUGAGAAUGGCUUACUCAACGGAUUUCAUCAGGAGCCAGUAGACGCAUGAGUUUGGCACUUGGCUCCAAGACAGUGUCUGCAAGACCUCCCCAGGCAAACGUGUGUUUGCAGGUACUAAAUGCAGGGAACUAGGUGGGCUGAUGGGGGAUGGACAGGCUCUCCAUCCUGAACAGUUGGCUGUCCGCUCACGGGCUCCACCCUCACUGUCCCCUCUCUCUGACUAAUUUCCUCCUUCCCCACCAGGACGCACGAGGUUCGGUAACGAUGCCAGUCAGUGGUUUCAAAAAGACAAAUCAACGCAAAUUCCCUUGUAACCAAUUUUUCUUUUUCCUAUCAGAGGAAGUCAGAUAAACCAGUCAGGCGGAAAGAGCAUUAUGCUCUACACAUGAUUGCCAGAGUUUAAAGAUAUCUCCUGGUUAUAACCAUAAAGGAAAUUGCCCUCAUAUCUUUCCAUUUUGGGGGGACACAUUUCUGUAAGAACGCAAAAUUGGCUCUUAAAGCACAGGCAUCCUUGAUUGCUAGGAGCGGGUGAUUUCUGUCCCUAAUUACUAAGUUAAUUACCUCUGAACAUAGCGGCUUAUUUCCUCAACAGAUAAACCCUCCUGCUUCAGACAAGGUGAGAGCUGAUUGCUCUUUGCCAUGGACCAUCCUCACGGUUCCUUCACUCAGAAAUAACUGUGAGCCAGGCAUAGUAUUUAUUAAAAGUAUCAC